UUUUUUAUUGGUGUUCAAUUUGCCAGCAUAUAGAAUAACACCCAGUGCUCAUCUCGUCAAGUGCCCGGGCACUGAGGUGGGCAGUGGAACAUAAUUAAGAGAGUGGCUAGAGAAUCAUGGCCAGAUCAUGAAGGGCUUCAUCCCUUGGGCUAAGAAAUUUGACCUUUAUCUUAAAAAAAGAGAUGAACCAAUAAAGGGAAGAGACAGCAGAACUGUAAUAUAGAAAUGGUAUCGUGUAUGAAAGAAAGAAAACUCUGGGAAGUUCGCAAAAGUCAGUAAGAUUCUGUGUCCCCAUUUGCUUCAUCUGACAUUGAUUUUUGGCCCUUGGGAUGGCAUUACAGAGCAUGUGGAGACUAGUCCGGGCUCCACGCCAGUUCGUGGUGCCAGUCUGCCUCUCCGGGAGAUUUACCGCAAUGACCUUCUUCAAACUCUCAGACUGCUGUGCUUGUUCUGUACUCUGCUCUGUACAGUGAUCAUCCGGGCAGCCGCCUUCCUGGAACACGACCUCUUUGCAUAAGGUCACAAAAUAAGGAAUCCAGAUGGUGGAGAGCAGUGUAAAUGGCACUUGGAGACGGGAAGAGAAUGUGUGUGCAGAGGCAGUCAGCAUGCCCCACAUGUGCAUCUCAAAAACCGGGAGGCAGGAAAGGAGGUGGGAAACGUGGGGAAAAGCGAGAGGAGAAGAUCCAUUGGUUCUCUUCCAUGAGAGCACUGCUGCACGUUCUAUCACGCAUUUCCACAUAGGAGAAGGUAAGUUACACUGAGAUAAACUGUCUCAGUGCAAAGAUGAAGCAGUAGCAAAUAAAACAAAUCACAUGGGUUUGCUUGCUUCUUUUUCCAAUCUCUGUUCUCCAGGCCCAUAGCAGUCUGCCUGUCACAUCAAGUUAAACAUUCUGCCUUGGAAAUCAUGCAGUCACAGAGCUUAAGGAAGCUUGCAAAUGGAAAUGUCAUUACUUUAAAGAAAAAAAAAAAAAGGUCUCAAGUCCUGUCCUAAUCACCUCCUAUUAUUGCUCCUAUCUGUAGCAUAGCCUGUGCACUAAUGCACUUCAGACUCACCAAAAGCCUCGGAAACUGCUCGGGAGAACAAUUUGAUACCUAAUGAUCCCUGAAAAAUUCCUUUCAUGUUUUUCUCUGGACACUGACUUUAUAUAUUUUCCUUGAGAAAUUUUGGGUACGGCUAAUUAAUAUACACACCAGAAAUGUUACAAGCGUGUGGAAAUUAGUUUAUCUGGUUUCAUGAAUACUGGCUCCCUGCUCCACAGGAAGCCAUGUUUUUUUCCUCUCACAUACACAUUUUAUGAGAGAUUUCUCAUAAUAAAUUUAAAAGUUUAAAACUUUCACCCGAGCUGAGGUUCCUCAAUUUUCAUCAGUAAGUUCAUUGGCCAGGAUGUGUUACAGCGACAAAAGUGAUUUCAAAAUUGCUGGCUCAGUGACUCUCAGCAUAGCAAAGAAGAAAAGUCUUUCAUGUUGUUACUGUCCUCAAACAUACCCUUUCUGCUCAGAUGUAACCCCUAGUUCCUCUUAUUUGGGCCACAUUUCCUAUUUCACAGCUAUACAGAGACAGGUUCUGGAAACUGUAUGGUAAAGGUAAGGUUCCUACGUGUAAUGCAAUAGGUAUAUUUCUACAAAACAUGCACGAACAAGGGUUUUGUAAGCACCAUUUAAAACUAUUGGAAGGGUAUUUUCUAGGGAUCUUUCUGUGGAUCUUUUCAAAAAACAAGAAGCCCUUUAGAAAAAUAUCCGUCUCUACUUCAUGUGUUCUAAUUUCAGGUUUUCAUGGACUAAUUACAAAAACUGAUGGAGGCCACCAUUCUUUUUCCUUGAUUGAGCUGACUUCACACCCACAUAAGAGCCAAUCAUGCUUGGCUGUUAAGCUUUACUAAACAAAGAUAUUUGCAAUAUAGACUACUGAAACAGAAAACUUCCCCAUGAGUCAGUAGCCGACCCCAGCAAAAGAUUUCAUGGUUCUGACUAACCAGCCCACAACCUUUCGUACCCAGUUCCGCUUUUUUUGGUGGUCUCUACAGUCGAAUUUCUAGUUAGGAACUGAAAAAUUGGUUUGGUUUCAACUUCCGUAGGGUAAGUAGUGGUACUAGCCAUGAUACCCUGGGAGUUUCAGGAUCUCAAACACGUGAACACUUCCCCUACCUGAAGCCCCCACUCUAAUCUCUGCCCCAUGGCAUUCCAAACGGACAUUGUAUAUGAGCAGAGAAGGCCAGGCAACAAAGACAUCUUGUUAGUGGGACUCCUGCAUCAAACCCUGGGGAGCUGGCUUGGAAUGUCAGCACUCUCACUAAAGGAUUAGUUCCUAAUUCUCCUGAAUCAUCUUAAUCACCUAUGGAGGUCUGGGUUUUGUAGUUUCAAGUCUUGCCUCAGACCAAUCUCCAGGCAUAGGGCCCUGGAUUCUGUAUUUUAAAAGGCAUAUUGGCCACGGUCCCCACUACCCUGUCUCUCCUGUUCCCACUACCAUGGGCAUUAAGGAAGUAUGGGUUGGAGUUGGAGAGUGGAAAGCCAGCGAUGUCUGGAAGCUGCCUUAUACCAGCUUGGGAGAGCUGACUGUCAAAAGCAGCAGACUGUUUCAAGAAUUUUGCAAGGCCUUAUUAAAAGCUAAAUCAUACAAGCUUAUUAUUUAAUAAUUAUCAAAACCAAAAGCAAUACUCACAGUUCAUCACCUCCUACUCAUUUACUAUUAUCUAUGUUCUUACAUAGAUACACCAAUGGUGUAUCUAUGUUCUUGAGGUUUUUCACAUCUAUUGUAUCUGUACCAAUGGUGGGCAUCUGUACCAAUGCUAUAUAAUGGUGUACGGCUGCGUGCCUCUUCCCAACUCUGCGUUCAAUGACAUCACAUUGGUAGCUUGAGGGCAGAGCAUUUAUACAAUAGGCAAAAGCUAAAAAUCAGGGCUUGAUUUAUUGUUGACUAUCUCCAGGCUUAAGAAAGUGACAGGAAAAUGUAAAUAAUGUAGACUGAACUUAAAAAUAUGUCACACGUAGGGGUUCAGGGUGGCACAGUCAGUUGAGUAGACUGACUCUCGGUUUCGGUUCAGGACGUGAUAUGGAGACCUGUGUCUGGCUCCCGGGCUCAGUCAGUCAGGAGUCUGCUUCAGAUUCUCUCUUCCUCUGCCCCUCCCACUAGUGCUCGCUCACUCUCUCUAAAAUAAAGAAAUAAUUCUUUAAAAAGCAAAGGUCACAUCUAUAGCUGGCAGAUUGCGAAUAGCACAAAACUUCAGGAAAUACUCUUCCAGUAUCUGAAAAUGGCCCAAUUUCAGUAAAGAAGUGGCUCUCUCUUCACUGACAAACAAGUGAAAUUCCAACAUAUCCCUUUGUUGUUUUAACUUUCAUCUUAGUCUUUCAUAUAAAGUAAAAUCAAGCAACAUUCCUGCUGGAAAUCAUACUUAUUCAUCAACUGCAAUUACAGUUUGGCUAUGGAUAAAAGAGUUCCAUAAAAACCAACGAUUGCAGUCUGUGAGAACCAAUGAGCUAUAUAAAAUUUACAAUAAAGAGGACUGUAUGUUCUAUUAUUAUUUAUGAAUUGCAUAUUUUAUUGCAUAUUAUUAAUGUAUUUAUACAUUAUUAUAAUUCAUAGUAUAUAUAUUCUAUUCAAUUUAAUUGUAUAUUUUAGUAUUUGUAUCUCAGUAAAAUUUAUAAUACUUACAUUUGAUUAUAUGUAAAUAUACAUUCUCCCCCAGAGAGCCAGUUGUUAAACAUUUACAACACACCACUGCCUAAGCCAAGAACAAAAACAGGUUGAACAGCUUCCUUGGCUUCUAUCCUAUAGGUCCACACCCUUAUCUUAGCCGUUUAGUUUACCAUUCUCCCGUCAAGAAAAACACCAAGAACUGUACAGGAAUACAAAUCAAAAGGAAAAGAGAUUUUCCUAAAGAUUCAAAACAUAAUUUAAUCUACUUAAUCCAACUCUUCCAAAGAAGGCUGCUUUCCAAGUAGGGACAGCUUUGGGCUGAUCUGACCACACCUGCCACGUGGAACACAAGAAGAACCCUAACAGAUGGCAGUUUUGGCAUCAUAGCCUAAUACAUAUCAUCCCCCUUGAAGCUACAUCAGAUAGUUCCUUGGGAGCAGAGGAGAGGUGAAUAUGAAGGCAUCCAAGUAGGUAGCGAACAAGAGGAAUUUGACUCUUACUGUCAACUGUGGUAUAUGUUUGGGGUACAUAACAAAAGGAUCAGUGAGGAAUUCCACUUUUCAUCAACCAGAUUUCUACUUUUCAUCAUUUACACAUGCGUGCCAUGGCUCCUUACAUAUUAAAAUUGUCAUUGCUUGUGAUUUAAAAAUGUCUUUCUAAAGGUGAAACAGAACAGUUACCAAGCCAAGAUGUACAGAAAUCUUAAAAAUUCUGUUACUUUGGGGGCACCUGGGUGACUCAAGUCAGUUGAGCAUCUGAUUCUUGAUUUUGGCUCAGGUCAUGAUCUCAGGGUCAUGGGAUCCAGCCCUGUGUCAGAGUCUGAGUUGCGCUCUGUGUGGGUGUGGAGUCUACUGAGAUUCUCUCUCUCCCUCUCCUCCUCCCCCCACCUUCGUGCACUCUCUCUCAAAAAAAAAAAAAAAAAAA
This 4558-nucleotide long non-coding RNA is filed under the name Canis lupus familiaris (dog). RNAcentral describes it as "lncRNA (ENSCAFG00845023213.1)". The record is from RNAcentral. Lineage: Eukaryota; Metazoa; Chordata; Mammalia; Carnivora; Canidae.